AGACGUGGCCUUCUGUGGCUUUCAGGGAGAGAGCUGUCACACCAUCCCCACAGGAUAUUUGCUCAAGUUAAUUGGCUCACCAAGGCGUUGGUGUAGACAGGUGGACCUCACGGAACAGUCUGCUCCUGGUCCCAGGAGUCCUUCUCAGGAUGGUUGGAGACUUCCACCUGCCACAGCCCUCAGGUCUGCAAGCAGCCAGCUAAGUCCGCUGACUUGAGCAAUUCCCCAGUGCUUCCAGAAGCACCCCUAAUUCCUGGUUCACACCAAGAUCUGUGAUGUUCAAUCCCUUCACGGUACCAAGUCUUCUGAAGCUGGAAAGGUGGCUCAGCUGCUAAAAGAACUCACUGCUCUCCCAGAGGGCCUAAAUUCAGUUCCAGGCAUCCACAUCUGAUGGCUCACAACUGCCUGCAACUCCAGCUCCAGGUGAAUCCAACUCCUCUCUGGCACAUACACAUAAUUAAAUUAAAAACAAAUAAAAAGAGGUCUUCCUAGUAGGAUGUGGUGGCCCAAACCUGUGUUUUCAACCAUU
Non-coding RNA from Myodes glareolus (Bank vole), 529 nucleotides. The record is from RefSeq and is a predicted model, not a curated record. NCBI's taxonomy places the organism in Eukaryota, Metazoa, Chordata, Mammalia, Rodentia, Cricetidae.